GUCAUUUCUCACUUGCAAAUAUCUUCUUUUUAUCAUAUUGUUGCUUAGUGCUUCUUAUCCUGAGUCUCACUCCACCAUUUCAUUUUAUAUGAACAAAACACAAGUGCUUUCUAAUCGGCCUCUUCCAUUUCUGCUUUAUAUUUAGUGAAUUUAAGUACCAGUCAGUUUCUAUCAACUUGUAAUAUCAAACCAAUAAAGUUUCUGAAAAUCAAUAUCAAUUUGUGUUAAAAUAUUCCCUAAUGUUGCCUGGUUACUCAUAAUCACUGCCUUAACUUUAACAUGCACUCUUAAUUUCAAAUCCUAGAUACGGCCAGUCUGCAAACCAGCAUCAACUUUCACCUAAUUUUAGGUUAUUGCAGACUAAUUAAUCUAAUACUUGACCCUAAAAAAUACUAUUGAUUUUUUGCAGAUAACAUGAUAGUGCAGUUGAGGGCUGCUGGGGACAACUUAUUUUCACUAGUCACUACUCUCCAGAAACCGUAAAAACCCUUUGUAUACUGAAUAACAUAAAAGACUAACUUGUCCUUACAGUAAAACUAGACCAAACAAAUCUUAUCUCGGCUAUGAUCAGAACUGGGAUAUUUUAUGGUGUAAACUAAAAACAAUCAAUAAUUAAACACCGACUCAAUCAGGAUUAGGACACCCUAGUGGUUAAGGCGUAUUUCUGGUGAUAACAUGAACAUUACUCGUCUGCUACUAGAUAGUAAUAACAUGAAAUCUGGUCCAAUCCUCGUCUCGCGCCCCAUAGUUAAAAAACUUAUUCAAAAAACACCUCAAGCUUAAUCAUUUCAUUUGAAAACAAAAGGUUGCUCAUGUGAAUACAAAUUACACCCAAAGUGGCUAGUUUAGGCCUUCCAAUCUUUCGGCAACUUUCUUUUCUUUUCCUUCUUCCUUUAGCUUUUGUUUUUAUAUUAUUAUGGUCUUUCCUCUGUUCAAAAAACACCACUUUCACAUAAUUUCUUUUUUUGCUUCAAUUAAAUAGAAAGUUGAAGAAUCUAGAGAAUACCAUUUACUUGUGCGGUAACUUAGCCAAUCACGGUGCUAACCAUCCUGUAGUUAGUUCGUCUCCUUUAAGCAUACUUAUUAGCCUGUGAUGAUAAUUAAUACUUAAGCUUGUCUUGGAGCAGCCUCCCUAUAUAAGUUAUAUAUAAUCUUAGAAAUUAUUCCUAGCUAUCUCUUUUACUGAAAAGCAAGCUGAGCUUUUACACACAUAAUUUCAAUGAGAAUGAGUAUACAAAUAGUAUUGGAGAAAAACAAACAAACCAGUGACUAACUUUUAGUUUUAGAAGCUUAAGGAAUGGAGUAGUUUAUGAAUUACUGAAGGAAUUGUGUAAAACAUUGUUUGCGAACUCAGUUGAGGUUACUGCCUCAAAAAUUCACAUAGAUUGAACAUAUUCGGGAAGAUGGACCAUCAUAUCAGUCAUUUAUCUGCAAUAUUUUUGUUAUAAUGGCUUACAUCAUAUGCACGAAAUUUCUAUCACACAGUGGCCAUACUAGAACUACAUGCACGGCUAGGAUUUAAAACGAUUAUUCAGACAGGAAGUGGAGGGCCGGUAUAAAUAUUGGCAUGACAGAUCCAUAUGCUUUCAUGUAGUGGUAAGUGGAAUAACAUAGACAAGAAGUGGAGGGCCAGAGAGAAAAAUAGUGGAGAAAAUUUAGAAAAAAAAAUGGUGCAAGAGGAAAUCAGAAAGGGUCCAUGGACAGAACAUGAGGAUGUUCAGCUGGUUUUCUAUGUAAAUUUGUUUGGUGAUCGUCGUUGGGAUUUCAUAGCAAAAGUUUCAGGUUUGAAGGUGGCGGGAGACAAGUAAUAGGUUUGAAAAGAACAGGUAAGAGUUGCAGGUUAAGGUGGGUUAAUUAUCUUCAUCCUGGUCUCAAACGAGGAAAGAUGACACCCCACGAAGAACGCUUGGUUGUGGAGCUUCACUCCAAAUGGGGGAAUAGGUCCGGAUGAUAUGCAUAUGAUGGACCAGAUCAUAUCUCUUGUUUAUUAGUACUAGUUUUUUUUUUUUUUUUUUGUGAUUGAUAUUAAAUUUCUCCUGUUUUGUAUUAAAGUCAUUAACUUUUACUGCAGAUGGUCAAGAAUUGCUCGUAAAUUACCUGGAAGAACAGACAAUGAGAUAAAGAAUUAUUGGAGAACCUACAUGAGGAAGGAGUCUCAAGAGAAGAAAAGGUCCAUGUCUCCCUCCCCAUCACACUCUAAUUGUUCUUCGUCGA
Molecule: RNA transcript, 2214 nt
Organism: Daucus carota subsp. sativus
Lineage: Eukaryota; Viridiplantae; Streptophyta; Magnoliopsida; Apiales; Apiaceae
Gene name: transcription factor MYB59
Exons: 2
Source: RefSeq, a predicted model, not a curated record